Molecule: unclassified non-coding RNA, 2970 nt
Filed under: Leishmania donovani
Lineage: Eukaryota; Euglenozoa; Kinetoplastea; Trypanosomatida; Trypanosomatidae
Description: gene:LdHU3.26.2680(CDS-product:hypothetical_prote in_conserved)
Source: RNAcentral
GCCCCCCUCAAGCAUUUUCUAUAGGAAAGCAAGAAGAGAGGAGGCUCAGCCCAACGCCACCAAGCCCUUUCUCAUAUUCCUUUGCACCUGUUGUCGACGCCUCCCUCUUUCUGGCCUCGAUGGAGAGCACGAUCGAGAGCACGUUGGAGAAUGUCGAGCACGGCAUCCGCAACGCACUGCAGCGCCUCAGCGACGCGCGUGCUCGCUUGGCGACCCAGCGCUCCGCGCUGAAUGAAAACAGACUCGUGCUGGUGCGGGCCGUGUCGCCGCUCCUGCUAGUGUAUCCUGCCGAAUCAGCGCUGCCGGCCCCUUCCUAUUCGCCUUGUGGCGCCUCAGACACGCUUCUUACACCGUUGCUGCGUGGCCAGUCGGCCAAAUCAGCCGUUGCGGCUGGCAGCUCUCCUCGCCACAAUGGCCUACUUUGUGAGGUCGAUCGUGCCGAGGAUUUCGAAGACACUAUCAUCAUCAGUCCUGCCGCUGCCGCACGAGAGCGAGCACCCGCACCGCCAACACUGCUAGCACUGCAGCCCCUGCCGCCGAUGUCCUCGCCACGCGCUCUUCCUCAGGCAUCGACGUAUGCUGGCUUCUACUCGGCUAUGGCGGCACGCACACAACAGCUGGAAGAGCAAUGCUCCAGCUAUUACCGCGAACACGUGAAGCACGCGGCCAAGCUGCAGAUUGCACAGGUGUGGGCCCGAGAGGUGCAGCCGUGGUUCGAGAAGGUUGUGCAUCGCGGCUUCUUCCAGCAUGUGAUUCUCCGGCUUGACGCGCUGAAUCGACGGGUGGUUCGGCUGUGUCGGCGGUUGGCGCUGGAUCGACCUCAGUACAUACCAAGCCGCCAGUGCACAAUUCCGAUAAGAAGGGGCAUGUGUGCGCACGGUCAGAUGGUGGGCGAGGAGGGACAUCUCCACGGCCGCCAACCGCACUCACAGUGUUGCCCCCAUCUCGCGGGGGGCGUGUGCAACCGAGGGCAAACAAAUGGAUUACGUGGCGUCAAUGGACAAGUCCGCUCAGCCAGCGACGAUGGCGGAGAGGGACAAGCGGCACAGAAGUGUGGCUGCACAGCAGAGGCCACGAGCCUUUCGGCGCCGCCGAGCCAACAGGGACGCACCAGCGAUGCUGCUCUCAAGCUUGACAGCGCGGAUGGCAACAACCACCCCAUGUGCUCUCUUUGGCGCCAGUACAUUCAGAUGGUGUCGCAGCCAGACGCUCUGGACGACGAGCAUCGUCAGGCGGGCGAAGAGAGCCACAGCCCACCGUCGCCGCUACUGCGCACGCCUCGCUCUCUCCGACAUGUGUGGCAUGUCACCAUGGAGGGCUUGACCAGCAGCGAUGCCGGCGCAGUCAGCGACUCGAUGACCGCGGAACCCCCUAGCGCUCUGCCCGCCGCCGACAGCGUCUCCGUCGGCGAUGUGAUGCCGCACCCAGGCUGCCGACUGCACCAGCGCGGCCACAUCGAUGCACUUGUGCGAAACCUCAGCAACCUUGUGAGGCGACGCGCCUCACUUCACCUGCCACUGCCUCCUCAGCAGUCGACACUGCGGCUCUGCAACCAUGAUGAGCACGAGCAUGAGGUGGGUUGUCACGACGGCCGCGAUGACGCUGCUGGCGAUGGGCGUCCUGGUGCGACUGCCCUUGUGCGAGAACGUCUGCCAUUGGACACGGGCUCUCCCCCUGUGGCCCUCCACCACUCUCAUCUGUGUGUACUGCUUUGCUGCGCGAUGCAACUCUGCUCUCUGGCGCAGCUGUGCAGCGCGAUCCGCGCAGGUCAACCUCUGUGCUACGUAACACCGCCACCUCAACUUGCUUAUGAUGCUGACGUGGGUGGUUGCUCUGGUGACGACAACGUCGCAGAUGACGGCAUCGGCGGUGUGGAGGUGGUGCAUAUCGGUCCGCACGAGCCGAUGACUGUGUCGGCAAGGGCCACGGAUGGCCCUUUCACAUGCCAACGCACGUGUGAAGGACAGAUUGCGGAGGCCUUGGCAGCGGUCUACCACACCGUGCCCUGUCUGCUCUCGCAGUUGAGCCUUGCACUUCAGAAGCGAAGGGGUGGCGCCGAGUACAGCGGCAAUGCGCAGCGGGAAGAAAGGAGCGAAGUAGCGGCUUCCGAAACGGAUGAGGCCACUGGAUCGAAACCGUGUGCGGCGUCGGCGGAAGAGGACCGCUUUUGUGUGACGAACAGCGCCGCAGAUGUUGGUGCUGGAAAGGAUAGCGCCACUGGCGCCGCUCUUUGGCCAACCGUGGGAGACGCGGCCCGUGACCGUGACGCCUUUGUUCGGCGGUGGCUUUCGCUCGCCUCGUCGUUGCUCACCACCGAGUUGCCGCCGCCAAGCACCCCACUCACCGAGGUGCCUUCAGUUUACGCCCGUGUACUGCGUGUUGGGUCCUUGUUCCGCUCUCUCCUGGAUGCCGCUGAGGAUGAGUGUGACGAGAGGCUUCUACAGCCUGCUGCAGGAGCAGCUUCCGCGGUGUUGUCCCCAACGACAACGACCCCUCUCACUACCGCGCGAGCGGAUGUAUCCACCUUGGCGAUGCAUGAGAUUCACGUUGCACAACGCAACACCACUGCAGCCCAUCGUAUUGCUCGUGCUGUUCCCGCUUCAUCGAUUCCGCUCGCGGCGACGACUCGGGUGAGCACGUUGCGCCAGAUGGAGCUGCAGACGCGUCAGCAAUGGCAGUCCAUGGAGACGAGUCUCUCCGUCGCCCGUUCCAUGGCAGCGGCGGCCCUCAAGCGGGCUGCACCCAGCGACGACGAGGCGGGCGAUGUAGCGGUCUUGCGAGCGCCGAUGCCGCUUGCUUGAUUGCUAUUAUUCUCUCGCGUCUGUGCUCUUUGCUCUCGCACACCAUUUGGACUGGCUGAUCUCGCCUUUUACCUUUCCUCUCUUCCCCCCCCCCCCCCCCUCGUGGGGGCCAUCCUUCUCACUCCUUCUCCUGCUCCUCCAGUGCUGCUAUCAAGCGCGUAUCCGCUCG